This 1332-nucleotide ribosomal RNA is filed under the name Vibrio sinaloensis. Its description in RNAcentral is "bacterial SSU rRNA". It matches the Rfam family "Bacterial small subunit ribosomal RNA", at positions 89 to 1418 of the family's 1533-position model. Lineage: Bacteria; Pseudomonadati; Pseudomonadota; Gammaproteobacteria; Vibrionales; Vibrionaceae. The record is from RNAcentral.
CGGCGAGCGGCGGACGGGUGAGUAAUGCCUGGGAAAUUGCCCUGAUGUGGGGGAUAACCAUUGGAAACGAUGGCUAAUACCGCAUAAUCUCUUCGGAGCAAAGAGGGGGACCUUCGGGCCUCUCGCGUCAGGAUAUGCCCAGGUGGGAUUAGCUAGUUGGUGAGGUAAGGGCUCACCAAGGCGACGAUCCCUAGCUGGUCUGAGAGGAUGAUCAGCCACACUGGAACUGAGACACGGUCCAGACUCCUACGGGAGGCAGCAGUGGGGAAUAUUGCACAAUGGGCGCAAGCCUGAUGCAGCCAUGCCGCGUGUGUGAAGAAGGCCUUCGGGUUGUAAAGCACUUUCAGUAGGGAGGAAGGUGUUGUCGUCAAUAGCGGCAACAUUUGACGUUACCUACAGAAGAAGCACCGGCUAACUCCGUGCCAGCAGCCGCGGUAAUACGGAGGGUGCGAGCGUUAAUCGGAAUUACUGGGCGUAAAGCGCAUGCAGGUGGUGAGUUAAGUCAGAUGUGAAAGCCCGGGGCUCAACCUCGGAGUUGCAUUUGAAACUGGCUGACUAGAGUACUGUAGAGGGGGGUAGAAUUUCAGGUGUAGCGGUGAAAUGCGUAGAGAUCUGAAGGAAUACCGGUGGCGAAGGCGGCCCCCUGGACAGAUACUGACACUCAGAUGCGAAAGCGUGGGGAGCAAACAGGAUUAGAUACCCUGGUAGUCCACGCCGUAAACGAUGUCUACUUGGAGGUUGUGGCCUUGAGCCGUGGCUUUCGGAGCUAACGCGUUAAGUAGACCGCCUGGGGAGUACGGUCGCAAGAUUAAAACUCAAAUGAAUUGACGGGGGCCCGCACAAGCGGUGGAGCAUGUGGUUUAAUUCGAUGCAACGCGAAGAACCUUACCUACUCUUGACAUCCAGAAAAUCCUGCGGAGACGCGGGAGUGCCUUCGGGAAUUCUGAGACAGGUGCUGCAUGGCUGUCGUCAGCUCGUGUUGUGAAAUGUUGGGUUAAGUCCCGCAACGAGCGCAACCCUUAUCCUUGUUUGCCAGCACUUCGGGUGGGAACUCCAGGGAGACUGCCGGUGAUAAACCGGAGGAAGGUGGGGACGACGUCAAGUCAUCAUGGCCCUUACGAGUAGGGCUACACACGUGCUACAAUGGCGCAUACAGAGGGCGGCCAACUUGCAAAAGUGAGCGAAUCCCAAAAAGUGCGUCGUAGUCCGGAUUGGAGUCUGCAACUCGACUCCAUGAAGUCGGAAUCGCUAGUAAUCGUGGAUCAGAAUGCCACGGUGAAUACGUUCCCGGGCCUUGUACACACCGCCCGUCACACCAUGGGAGUGGGCUGC